RNAcentral lists this long non-coding RNA (388 nucleotides) under Gossypium raimondii (Peruvian cotton). RNAcentral describes it as "long non-coding RNA (GRAI_LNC009217)". The record is from RNAcentral. Lineage: Eukaryota; Viridiplantae; Streptophyta; Magnoliopsida; Malvales; Malvaceae.
AAAAAUGUAACAGCUCAUAUCUUGACCUUUAAUGAAUGGUACCAUAAAAAAUAAGCGUUGAUCGAAACUCUAAGGGGCAAUAUUAAAGAUCCUUUCCUUAUCCUCCCUUGAGCUAAAUUUAACCAAGAACAGCCCAUCCGACAUAGCCACAAAGUUCACUGCCUUUAGGGAUUUUAGAAAGAAAAAAAACCACACCGCUCAACAAAGAACACCCCGUCGGCCAUAACGAGUUCCCUCCCAAAGAUACCUACACAGCCCUAACAUCGAAAACCAGGAAACCACACCGCUCAACAAAGAACACCCCGUCUCACACAACAAAACCAGUAACAGAUAAAAUGCCUACCGAAAACCAAAGACCACCGCCCCAUAACGCAGCCGCAGAAAAAUC